UGGGGAAUUUUGCACAAUGGGGGAAACCCUGAUGCAGCGACGCCGCGUGAUUUAGAAGGCCUUCGGGUUGUAAAAAUCUUUUGUAUGGGAAGAAAAUGACAGUACCAUACGAAUAAGGACCGGCUAAUUACGUGCCAGCAGCCGCGGUAAUACGUAAGGUCCGAGCGUUGUCCGGAAUCAUUGGGCGUAAAGGGUACGUAGGCGGAUAAGCAAGUUAGAAGUGAAAUCCUAUAGCUCAACUAUAUAAAGCUUUUAAAACUGCUAGGCUUGAGAGAUGGAAGGGAAAGUGGAAUUCCUAGUGUAGCGGUGAAAUGCGCAGAUAUUAGGAAGAAUACCGGUGGCGAAGGCGACUUUCUGGUCAUCAUCUGACGCUGGGGUACGAAAGCGUGGGUAGCAAACAGG
RNAcentral lists this ribosomal RNA (402 nucleotides) under Verrucomicrobiota bacterium. RNAcentral's name for it is "Verrucomicrobia bacterium partial 16S ribosomal RNA". It matches the Rfam family "Bacterial small subunit ribosomal RNA", at positions 355 to 776 of the family's 1533-position model. Lineage: Bacteria; Pseudomonadati; Verrucomicrobiota. The record is from RNAcentral.